GAUGAACGCUGGCGGCGUGCCUAAUACAUGCAAGUCGAGCGAACAGACGAGGAGCUUGCUCCUCUGACGUUAGCGGCGGACGGGUGAGUAACACGUGGAUAACCUACCUAUAAGACUGGGAUAACUUCGGGAAACCGGAGCUAAUACCGGAUAAUAUAUUGAACCGCAUGGUUCAAUAGUGAAAGACGGUUUUGCUGUCACUUAUAGAUGGAUCCGCGCCGCAUUAGCUAGUUGGUAAGGUAACGGCUUACCAAGGCGACGAUGCGUAGCCGACCUGAGAGGGUGAUCGGCCACACUGGAACUGAGACACGGUCCAGACUCCUACGGGAGGCAGCAGUAGGGAAUCUUCCGCUAUGGGCGAAAGCCUGACGGAGCAACGCCGCGUGAGUGAUGAAGGUCUUCGGAUCGUAAAACUCUGUUAUUAGGGAAGAACAAAUGUGUAAGUAACUAUGCACGUCUUGACGGUACCUAAUCAGAAAGCCACGGCUAACUACGUG
RNAcentral lists this ribosomal RNA (497 nucleotides) under uncultured bacterium. RNAcentral describes it as "partial 16S ribosomal RNA". It matches the Rfam family "Bacterial small subunit ribosomal RNA", at positions 28 to 507 of the family's 1533-position model. The record is from RNAcentral.